RNAcentral lists this ribosomal RNA (1049 nucleotides) under uncultured bacterium. RNAcentral describes it as "bacterial SSU rRNA". It matches the Rfam family "Bacterial small subunit ribosomal RNA", at positions 336 to 1393 of the family's 1533-position model. The record is from RNAcentral.
CUCCUACGGGAGGCAGCAGUGGGGAAUAUUGCACAAUGGGCGCAACUAGGAUGCAGCGACGCCGCGUGAGGGAUGGAGGCCUUCGGGUUGUAAACCUCUUUUGUUUGGGAGCAAGCCUUCGGGUGAGUGUACCUUUCGAAUAAGCGCCGGCUAACUACGUGCCAGCAGCCGCGGUAAUACGUAGGGCGCAAGCGUUAUCCGGAUUUAUUGGGCGUAAAGGGCUCGUAGGCGGCUCGUCGCGUCCGGUGUGAAAGUCCAUCGCUUAACGGUGGAUCUGCGCCGGGUACGGGCGGGCUGGAGUGCGGUAGGGGAGACUGGAAUUCCCGGUGUAACGGUGGAAUGUGUAGAUAUCGGGAAGAACACCGAUGGCGAAGGCAGGUCUCUGGGCCGUCACUGACGCUGAGGAGCGAAAGCGUGGGGAGCGAACAGGAUUAGAUACCCUGGUAGUCCACGCCGUAAACGGUGGACGCUGGAUGUGGGGCACGUUCCACGUGUUCCGUGUCGGAGCUAACGCGUUAAGCGUCCCGCCUGGGGAGUACGGCCGCAAGGCUAAAACUCAAAGAAAUUGACGGGGGCCCGCACAAGCGGCGGAGCAUGCGGAUUAAUUCGAUGCAACGCGAAGAACCUUACCUGGGCUUGACAUGUUCCCGACGACGCCAGAGAUGGCGUUUCCCUUCGGGGCGGGUUCACAGGUGGUGCAUGGUCGUCGUCAGCUCGUGUCGUGAGAUGUUGGGUUAAGUCCCGCAACGAGCGCAACCCUCGCCCCGUGUUGCCAGCACGUUAUGGUGGGAACUCACGGGGGACCGCCGGGGUUAACUCGGAGGAAGGUGGGGAUGACGUCAGAUCAUCAUGCCCCUUACGUCCAGGGCUUCACGCAUGCUACAAUGGCCGGUACAGCGGGAUGCGACAUGGCGACAUGGAGCGGAUCCCUGAAAACCGGUCUCAGUUCGGAUCGGAGCCUGCAACCCGGCUCCGUGAAGGCGGAGUCGCUAGUAAUCGCGGAUCAGCAACGCCGCGGUGAAUGCGUUCCCGGGCCUUGUACACACCGC